UUUCCUUCCCUUUGGCAGGCGGAGGCGAGAGGAUCACUUGAGCAUGGACAUUCAAGACCAGCCUGGGCAGCAAAUGUUACGUGGCUGCAUGACCAUACACUUCUGGGUAGAGCCCAGUGGAAGACAAAGAAGACUCAAGGAAUAGCCCUUGAGGUAAUGGAUGAGAAAGUGCUUUGUAAAUUACAAUGCUCUGACACAAGUCAAGUUCAUUCAUCCAUUCCAUAAACCUCUGCCGAGAGCCUGCUUUUGCCAGGCACAGGGCGAAGUGCUGGAAGACAGAAGUGCUGGGUGAAUCCUGCAGGGGGAGAUGGCCAAGGCAAUCGGCAUGGAGCCCCCAGGUGAUGAGUGAGGUGGGAGGUGCGGGGCUCCCUGCCUGCUCAUCUCAGCAGGAGAUCCAACUGCUGUUCGGGCUCUAUCACCCAGUAGCUGUGUGACUUUAGGCAAUCUGCCUUACCAGCUGUGCCUCGGUUUCCUUAUUUGUAAAAUGGUUGGAGAGUAGUACCUACCUCACUGAGUUGUCUGGAGCUCCCACAUGCAAAAU
This 541-nucleotide long non-coding RNA is filed under the name Homo sapiens (human). Its description in RNAcentral is "non-protein coding lnc-PGS1-1:2". Lineage: Eukaryota; Metazoa; Chordata; Mammalia; Primates; Hominidae. The record is from RNAcentral.